RNAcentral lists this long non-coding RNA (833 nucleotides) under Helianthus annuus (common sunflower). Lineage: Eukaryota; Viridiplantae; Streptophyta; Magnoliopsida; Asterales; Asteraceae. The record is from RNAcentral.
GGAGGCAUAAGAUCACACUCCGACCACCGUAUCCUCUGCCACCGUUACAGUAUCAUCUGCCACCGUUCACCACCAUUCAACAGAGAUAAACCCCUAGACGCCGCCGCAUAGGGGGUGGGUGUCGUGUCUGAAAGUUGCCAGUUGUACCAGCCGCCGCCACCACCGUUCACCACCAUAUCUUGUAAAUUUACAAGUUGAGAUGCAUAAGAGCACCCCCUGACUACAACUUGCUGACCUAAUCUGGCCACCAUCGCCUCAAAACGAACCACCAUGGCUGAUCGAUUUCUACGAUAUGCGAAGAUGUAUGGGGUAUUUUGGGGAUUUCGUUGAGAUAAAACCCCUUUGUGAAGCCCAAGUUGGUUCUGUAAUACUUUAGUGGGUUUCUAAUUUGCAAAUUAUUUUUUGGCUCUUCAAUAUUUGGGGAGCAGAUUGCUUUUGAAUUGUAGAUAUUGUCAUGGGCAGUGGGUUUUUAAUUUGCAAAUUAUGAUCUGCAUAAAGUGAGUUGCCUUUUAUUUUCGAUCUUUGGAUUGAUUUGUGUUUUUGAUAUUUUGGGUUGAGUUGGCAGUGAUAGGUAGAAACCAAUUUUUUCGACAGUUGAUGACGAUGGCGCGGCAAGGAUGGCGGAGGGUAGGUUUUUGAACCUGCAACCCCAUUUUGCAGCCUUUGAUUAUUGAAAACUUUGAGCCAAACCCCUUUUUUUCAAGAUCCACACAUUGUUUUGAUUUUUGUUGUUGGGGUUUAUAUUUUUUUUUCAGUCGAUGAUGAUAAGUUCAACUUAUCUGAGACACCAACUGAGUCACGAUUUUUGGGUGAGUUCGUCGUAUUUGAGUGCU